RNAcentral lists this ribosomal RNA (461 nucleotides) under uncultured bacterium. RNAcentral describes it as "partial 16S ribosomal RNA". It matches the Rfam family "Bacterial small subunit ribosomal RNA", at positions 29 to 523 of the family's 1533-position model. The record is from RNAcentral.
AACGAACGCUGGUGGUAUGCUUAAUACAUGCAAGUCGAACGGGCAUAGCAAUAUGUCAGUGGCAAACGGGUGAGGAAUAUAUAGGAACCUCCCUAGCAGUAAGGAAUAACUUUGGGAAACCAAAGCUAAUGCCAUAUAUUACCCCUUAAGAAAUUAAGGGGGAAAGAUUUAUCGCUGUUAGAUGGGCCUGUAUCAGAUUAGAUAGUUGGUAGGGUAAUGGCCUACCAAGGCAAUGAUCUGUAGCUGGUCUGAGAGGAUGAUCAGCCACACUGGAACUGAGACACGGUCCAGACUCCUACGGGAGGCAGCAGUAGGGAUAUUGGACAAUGGGCGCAAGCCUGAUCCAGCCAUACCACGUGAGUGAUGAAGGUCUUCGGAUUGUAAAGCUCUUUUGGUAGGGAAGAUAAUGACGGUACCUACAGAAAAAGCACCGGCUAACUUCGUGCCAGCCGCCGCGGUAA